RNA transcript from Notothenia coriiceps (black rockcod), 2120 nucleotides. It is a transcript of the gene named myosin binding protein Ha, with no coding region annotated. The transcript has 14 exons. Lineage: Eukaryota; Metazoa; Chordata; Actinopteri; Perciformes; Nototheniidae. The record is from RefSeq and is a predicted model, not a curated record.
CCCUUUAAUACAGAGGACUAUCCAUCAGCACGAUGCCAAGCAAACCUGCACCCAUGAAGAAGUCCCCGGCUAAGAAGGCGGCCGAAAAGGCACCUGAGCCCGCCCCGGAGCCUGCCCCGGCCCCCGCAGAGGCUCCACCUGUGGACGCUGCCCCGGCUGAAGCUGCUCCGGCAGCCAAGGGAGAGGCAGCAGCCCCCGCAGCAGAGACCCCCGCUGCUGAAGGAGGCGCUCCAGCUACUGAAGAAGGUGCCAUUGCUGCUGAUGCUCCUGCUGCAGAUGUUCCUGCUGCAGACGCUACCGCUGCAGAUUCUCUUGCUGCAGAUUCUCUUGCUGCAGAUUCUCCUGCUGCAGAUGCUACCACAGAUGCUGCUCCAGCUGAAGUCGCUGUAGUUGUGGAGCUGCCAAAGGCCCCGUCUAGUGCAGUCCCCACCAGUGCUCCUCUUAACGUAUCUGUGGAAGAUGUGAAUGAAACCAACCUCACCAUUAAAUGGAAGGAGCCACAGACCAUCGGAGACUCUGGCCUGGACGGGUACACCAUUGAGUACUGCAAGGAUGGAACAACAGACUGGGUUGUAGCUCAGAAGGAGUUGACCGUCGCUAACAGCCUCUGCAUCCAUAACCUGACAACGGGUGACCUGCUGCAUGUGCGCGUGGUUGCUGUCAACCCCGCCGGCCGCAGUGAACCUGGGACACUCGCUCAGCCAGUGCCCAUCCAUGAGAUUGGUGAACGUCCCAAGGUCCGCAUGCCACGCGCUCUCAGAGCCUGCUGUGUCAGGAAGGUUGGAGAGCAGAUCAACAUGGUCAUCCCCUUUCUUGGAAAGCCCAAACCUGUGGUGUCCUGGCUUAAAGACGGUAAGCCGUUGGACACAAAGAGGGUCAACAUCAGGAACAGUGACAAGGACAGCAUCAUUUUUAUCCGCACGGCAGAGAGGGACGACUCUGGUGUUUAUGAGAUGUCAGUCAAAGUGGACAGCUUUGAAGACAGAUCCACCAUCGUCCUUCAGAUUGUGGAGCGGCCCGGCAAUCCUACCAGUGUGAAGCUGGUGGACGCCUGGGGCUUCAACGCAGCACUGGAAUGGACCCCCCCCCAGGACAAUGGCAACACAGAGAUCACGGGAUACACCGUCCAGAAGUCUGACAGGAAGACCGGGGAAUGGUUCUCGGUGCUGGAGCACUGCCACAGGCUUACUGCCACCGUCUCAGACCUCAUCAUGGGCAACUCGUACAUCUUCAGAGUGUUCGCUGAGAACCAAGUGGGCAUCAGUGAGAUGAGCGUUGUCACAAAGGGGGUUGCCACAAUCCACAAGACAGCUAUUGCCUACACGCCUCCCGAGUACCUGGAGCGUGACUACAGUGAGGCCCCGAAGUUCACCACCCCCCUCAGUAACCGCAGUGCCACGGUGGGAUACACCACCAAGCUGCUGUGCUCCGUCCGUGGAAGCCCCAGGCCUCAGAUUGAGUGGUUGAAAAAUCAGAUGAUCAUCGGUAACGACCCCAAGUAUCGUAAGUUCACUAACGAGGGAAUCUGCUGCCUGGAGAUCCGUAAGCCCGGCAACUUUGAUGGCGGCAUAUACACCUGCAGAGCCAUCAACCCCCAGGGAGAGGCCCUCGUCUCCUGCAAGCUGGAGGUCAAACAAAUUAUUCAGGCAGAGUCUGGCAAGUAGAAGGGGAAAUAAACCAAAACCUCCAGAGUGUGUUUAAAGGACCAGCAGAAGUCCAGGUCUUAUGUGUUAUGAUUGUUUGAGGAUGUGAUAGAGAGCCGUGGCUGCCUCUGCAGCAGUGUGUACAUACUGAAGAAAGGGACAGAACAACAUACCAACAUCUACAUAUCUAUUUCCACCCCCACCCAUCCCGACUCACCCACUCCUCCCAGUAUUUGGGGAAGACCCACAUUGCACAACCCAUCCCAGUUUGCCAAUUGUUGUAUGUUAUUUAAGUUGGUGACAUGUGUGUAAGGCUAUAUUUAAAACCUUUUGUUCUGCCUGUGUCCAUCUGCUGUUUGUUACAGUAUUUAUAUAUAUAGAUAUAUAUUUACGACUCAAUAAAACAGUGAAUCCUUAGACAUACUACUGCAAUGACUGUAUGGAUGUUUAAUACAAAAAUAAAAUUGUAUUUUACUA